UUUUCUUGAAAUGAAGGGGAUGCUGGCCUUUCUGAUAGUUUCAGUUUCAUCAGCCUGGUUUGUCAUCAUCAUAUUUGCCUAUUUGUGGCUGAGGAAGAGAAAGAAAAGAGGCAAGUAAAUUUUUUUACCUUCCCAUGUAUAUGAUUCUUGAUAAUCAUUUCAAUUUGUGUUGUUCAAAAACAGUAAAGAACAAAUCCAACAGGAGAUUGUUUGAUUCUAUAAAUGGUCCACACUACCACAAAGAUAAUUUUGAAGCGGAUGACAUCCAGACAAGCAGGAGUCAUACAGACUUGGCAUUUUUCAACCUUAGCACCAUAUCUGCUGCCACUGAUAAUUUUUCUCAAGCUAACAAGAUUGGACAAGGUGGCUUUGGUUCUGUUUAUAAGGUAGAAUUUAACUCUCUAUCCAAUAUCUAAAAAUUGAAAUUCUUCUCAUUUUGAUUUGUUCUCGUUCACAUGGUGUUCUGUGUGAAAACAAAUUCAGACAUAGGUGUAAUCUCGCAAACAUGUUUUUGCAGGGUCAGCUAACUAAUGGAAAGGAGGUUGCUGUAAAAAGGCUAUCAAAAAAUUCGGGGCAAGGAGCAGAAGAAUUUAAAAAUGAAGCUAUGUUGAUGGCCAAGCUUCAACAUAGGAAUCUUGUGAAACUUUUAGGAUGUUGCGUUCAGGAAGAAGAGCGAAUUUUGAUUUAUGAAUACUUGUCAAAUGGAAGUUUGGACUUGUUUCUCUUUGGUGAGUUUUCUAAUUUUUCUAUUCUCUUGUUGGUUUCCUAAUUGUAUCUCCUUUACGAGGAUACAAUUAAGAUAUACAAAUUAUAUAUAUUAUUUAACACUAACUCGAUAAAAAUUAUUAAACUUUUAAAGAUACAACAAGAAGUUCAUUCCUGAAUUGGAGUAAACGUUACAAAUCAUAGUUGGAAUUGCACGUGGAAUUUUAUAUCUUCACCAGGACUCAAGGUGGCGAAUCAUCCACAGAGACUUAAAAAGUAGCAACAUCCUCUUAGAUGCAGAGCUGAAUCCAAAAAUUUCAGAUUUUUGAAUGGCUAGAAUACUCGAAGAUGACCAGAUACAACACAAGACACAUAGAGUUGUAGGGACAUAGUAAGUAUUCAAGUAAAGAUUGCCCUUAUCACUCAACAUCAAACAGAUUGCUAUAAAAAACCAAUUCUCUCCUUAACAUGUGCAUUCUUUUAUUUUGCAGUGGCUACAUGUCGCCAGAGUAUGCCGUGUUAGGAAAAUUUUCAGUAAAGUCCGAUGUAUUCAGCUUUGGUGUAAUAUUGUUGGAGAUUAUAAGUGGGAAGAAAAGCAAUGGCUUCCAUCAAGAGGAUCCUUCCCUAACCUUGAUAGGACAUGUAAGUGAUAGAAACUCUUGAUUUGUUAUCUUCUCAACUAAAUAAUUUUACUGAAAGUUUAUUUCAUGCAUGGUGAUGCUAUGAACAAAGGUGUGGGAGCUAUGGCAAGAAGACAAAGCAAUGGAGAUAGUUGACUCAACAUUAAAGGAAUCAUACAAUUCCCAUGAAGUGUUGAAAUGUAUUCACAUUGCACUCUUGUGUGUGCAAGAAGAUGCAGUGGACAGACCAACUAUAUCAGCAAUCAUUGUCAUGUUAGAUAGUGAAAUCUCUCUUCCUUGUCCAAAACAACCAGCUUUCAUUUUCAGAACUUCUUGCAACAGUUCACCAAUAUGGGAAGGACCAAGUUCUGUGAAUGAAAUGUCAAUCACUGAAACUGUAGCUCGCUAAUUGAAGCAUACUUCCUCUCAUAGACUAAACUAACUAGAAUUAAGGGACUAAAUCAUUCGAUUUUUUAAAUUAAGGGACCAUUUUGCUAUUGGUAGUAGACAAAAACCCAUCAAUAAUAUACAAAUUUCACAGGUACAGACAUUUGCUCACUGAUACAUUCAUCUCAUCAUGAAUAAAAAACGAAGAGCAACUAAAAUAAGACAAAACCCAUUAAAAACUCACAAUCGGUGUCAUGUUUUCUAAUUAAUGAGAUGCUUUUCAGCUGAAUAGAGAUCCAAAAGCACUAAAACUAACUUCAAAAUUAGGAACCCAUGGAAAAGUAAAAAGCAGAAAAUUACCUGUAAAGCGAUUGGCUCAUAUGUGAUAUCCAGAGGCUCCAUCAGCCACCGAGGAAGUGUUUUAUAGUGGAGUGGUGGCCAUGGAAAGUCAUCUGUGGAGGGUUUUUUUUGCACAAAGUCAUCUGGAGAAUGCGAGAUUGUAGAUGACACAGAGAAUUGCACAAUGCUCAGAGCAAAUUUUUUGGAGGUAUUGUACUUAAGGGUUUUUU
This 2281-nucleotide long non-coding RNA is filed under the name Manihot esculenta (cassava). Its description in RNAcentral is "long non-coding RNA (MESC_LNC009392)". Lineage: Eukaryota; Viridiplantae; Streptophyta; Magnoliopsida; Malpighiales; Euphorbiaceae. The record is from RNAcentral.